ACGCUCGACACCUACGGGGGGCAGCAGUGGGGAAUAUUGGGCAAUGGGCGCAAGCCUGACCCAGCAACGCCGCGUGAAGGAAGAAGGCUUUCGGGUUGUAAACUUCUUUUAUUAAGGACGAAACAAAUGACGGUACUUAAUGAAUAAGCUCCGGCUAACUACGUGCUAGCAGCCGCGGUAAUCUGAGCGGGCUGGCAAGGC
This 201-nucleotide ribosomal RNA is filed under the name uncultured bacterium. RNAcentral's name for it is "partial 16S ribosomal RNA". It matches the Rfam family "Bacterial small subunit ribosomal RNA", at positions 328 to 539 of the family's 1533-position model. The record is from RNAcentral.